AUGAGUGUUGUAAGUUGGAACUACCGGGGGCUUGGGAACCCAGCGGCAGUUCGUGAUCUUCGCAACAUAGUGAAGUAAGAAGGCCCCUGUCCCCUCUUUGUGAUGGAGACGAAGAUCUCGGCUAGUCGGGUGGAGAGUUUAAAGUUUCAACUUGGUUUUUUAGGUUGUUUUGCGAUGAAUAGCAAAGGUUUGAGUGGUGGAAUUGGUAUGUUUUGGUCAGCCGAAGUUGAAGUUGAAUUGAAAAACUUUAGCUCGAGCCACAUUGAUGUGUUGGUCAGGAAGAAUACUCAAAACUCUAUGGAGUGGAGAGUCACGGGUUUCUAUGGUGCACCGCAAGCUGAGGACAGGCACCAUAGCUGGAGGUUUCUACUUUGA
This 375-nucleotide ribosomal RNA is filed under the name Triticum aestivum (bread wheat). Its description in RNAcentral is "partial small subunit ribosomal RNA". The record is from RNAcentral. Lineage: Eukaryota; Viridiplantae; Streptophyta; Magnoliopsida; Poales; Poaceae.